GAUGAACGCUAGCGGCAGGCCUAACACAUGCAAGUCGAGGGGUAGCAGGAUUAAGCUUGCUUAAUUGCUGACGACCGGCGCACGGGUGCGUAACGCGUAUGCAACCUACCUUAUACUGGGGUAUAGCCCGGAGAAAUUCGGAUUAAUCCCCCAUAGUACCAAUGAAUCGUAUGGUUUAUUAGUUAAAGCAUUGCCGUAUCACAUGGGCAUGCCUCCUAUUAGCGAAGUGGUGAGGUAACGGCGCGCCAUGGCUACGAUGGGUAGGGGGCCUGAGAGAGUGGUCCCCCACAAUGGUACUAAGACACGGACCAGACUCCGACGGAAGGGAGCAGUGAGGAAUAUUGGUCAAUGGACGCAAGCCUGAACCAGCCGUGCCGCGUGCAGGAAGAAUGCCCUAUGGGUUGUAAACUGCUUUUAUUUGGGAAUAAACCUCUUUACGUGUAGAGAGCUGAAGGUACCAAAUGAAUAAGCACCGGCUAACUCCGUGCCAGCAGCCGCGGUAA
RNAcentral lists this ribosomal RNA (503 nucleotides) under uncultured bacterium. RNAcentral describes it as "partial 16S ribosomal RNA". It matches the Rfam family "Bacterial small subunit ribosomal RNA", at positions 28 to 523 of the family's 1533-position model. The record is from RNAcentral.